CAGUCGCCGCGGGAAUACGAAGGGGGCUAGCGUUGUUCGGAAUCACUGGGCGUAAAGCGCACGUAGGCGGAUUUUUAAGUCAGGGGUGAAAUCCCGAGGCUCAACCUCGGAACUGCCUUUGAUACUGGAGAUCUUGAGUUCGGAAGAGGUUGGUGGAACAGCUAGUGUAGAGGUGAAAUUCGUAGAUAUUAGCUAGAACACCAGUGGCGAAGGCGGCCAACUGGUCCGACACUGACGCUGAGGUGCGAAAGCGUGGGGAGCAAACAGGAUUAGAUACCCCUGUAGUCCCUGUCUCUUAUAC
This 301-nucleotide ribosomal RNA is filed under the name uncultured bacterium. Its description in RNAcentral is "partial 16S ribosomal RNA". It matches the Rfam family "Bacterial small subunit ribosomal RNA", at positions 509 to 807 of the family's 1533-position model. The record is from RNAcentral.